CCCCCCAGCUAGUCCGUCUUCAGGCCUGCGGAGGAUCAUUAUCGAAUAAACUUGAACAGGCUGUUGCUGUCCCUUCAUUGGGUAUGUGCACGCUUGUCAUCUUUAUUUUCUCCAACUGUGCACCCUUUGUGGACCUGAGUGAUGAAAAUCGAGUUGGGGACUGCUGUGCUAACCACCGGCUUUCCCUUGUAUUUUUCAGGUCCAUGUCAUUUAUUUCACAAACCUAUGGAUUUGUUUAGAAUGUUGAAUUGGGUGCUUUCAUGUACCUUUGAAAUAAAUAUACAACUUUCAGCAACGGAUCUCUUGGCUCUCGCAUCGAUGAAGAACGCAGCGAAAUGCGAUAAGUAAUGUGAAUUGCAGAAUUCAGUGAAUCAUCGAAUCUUUGAACGCAUCUUGCGCUCCUUGGUAUUCCGAGGAGCAUGCCUGUUUGAGUGUCAUUUAAAUUCUUCAACCACAUGUGAUGUGGCUUGGAUAUUGGGGGGUUAUCAUUUGCAGGCCUUGAAAAGAGGUCUGCUCCCCUGAAAUGUAUUAGUGGUAUCUGCUACUACAGGUGUGAUAAUUUAUCUGUACCUUUAGUAUUCUGCAAAUGAUUAUGCUGCUUCUAAACAACCCAUUUGAUAUAUUUGACCUCAAAUCAGGUAGGACUACCCGCUGAACUUAAGCAUAUCAAUGAGCGGGGGGGGAACUCCCAGGUUUUGGUUUUUUCAAUCCCCCGAAGAAAAGAAAAAGCCUCCCCUAUUUAGUAUGUCCUUCCCCCUCCAUAAAG
RNAcentral lists this unclassified non-coding RNA (766 nucleotides) under Inocybe sp. SB88. RNAcentral's name for it is "sequence contains 18S rRNA gene, ITS1, 5.8S rRNA gene, ITS2 and 28S rRNA gene". The stretch from base 284 to 437 matches the Rfam family "5.8S ribosomal RNA". Lineage: Eukaryota; Fungi; Basidiomycota; Agaricomycetes; Agaricales; Inocybaceae. The record is from RNAcentral.